GAGAGAAAAAAAAAAAUCUCACAGCUCUGGAUCCGUCGCCGCCACCGCUCCUCCGAUCGAUACUCGCCGGCGUCGCUCCACCCAUCCUCGUUGUCGGGCGCUGCACCACCCUUCCUCGUCGCCGGGCGCCGCACCACCCGUCCCCGCCGUCGGGGCCCGCACCAUCCUCGUCGCCGGGGGCUACACCAGCCAUCCUCGUCAUUGGGCGCCGCUCCACCCAUCCUCAUCGCCGGAGGCCGCCACUGCCGUAGCUCCAUGCCCUAGUGGUGAUCUGCUAGUUUUCUUGCUGAUCCAUGGCAAGUAAGGAAAGAUGCAUGAACCAAAAUUGCAGGAAAGAUGGAUGAAUCAAGAGCGAGCCUAAGGAAAGACAAAUAUUCUUACGAAGCUGAUCAUGAGGACCUUGGUGUUAGCAAAGAAGAAACUAUAAGACUCGAGGAGUUAAAUAGGAAAUGCAAAGAAGUUGGUCUCCCACCGACAAAGUUAAACUCAGCAUACUUUCAUGGCACAUUCCCAUCCACAUCCAAACAAAAGGAAAAGGACAUGAUUGCAAGUUCUAAAUAUGUGCACUUUUGAAUUUUUGCUCAAAAUUGUUUUAAUGUUGCAUGAUUAUUUUAUACCACACACCUGCAAUCUGUCUUGUGAUGCAGAUGGAUACAGAAAUGAAUAUGAGGGUAGAGUACAUGAACAAUUGAACCUUGAAAUGUGGUACGGAAGUUGGUCCAACAUCUCCUUGAAGCGGAAGAAUGGUCGCACUAGCUCAUGCAUCCUGGUGGUCAAGCUCUACAUUCUAAGGUAUCAGCCAUUACUACGCACAUCCCAUCUAAUCAAGGAGAGAAAUCUGCAAACCAAAACUAGGCUCUCAAGAACAAUAGUGUUGACAGUGCAUUGCAAAGUAUGGUUGGACAGAGACUUAAGAGAAAUAUUUCUGAUUUAACCUCCAAGGAGAAUGUAGGAGAUGAAGAUACAUAUUUUAAGGCAAAGAAUCUUGGAAAAGUCAACUCUACUAUGCUAACAAGUUCACCAAUAGCCAGGUGUUAAGAAGUUCUCGGUUCUAGUUCAAAAGGCCAUUCUCAAGCCAAUCUCCUUUGAGAUGCGAGCAUGCAAGCCAUAUAAGUUACAAGGUUUCAGUGGGUCAGUGUGGUUGAAUGUUUAGUUGUUCACAUAAGAACCAUUUAUUUUCUUGACGUGUUAGACAAACAUGCUAUUGAUAUUGUUUACCAACCAUUUAAUGUUUGUUUGAUCUUAAAAUUAGACUUGAACUGAGCUAAAAAUU
Long non-coding RNA from Oryza brachyantha (malo sina), 1273 nucleotides. RefSeq lists it as uncharacterized. The record is from RefSeq and is a predicted model, not a curated record. Lineage: Eukaryota; Viridiplantae; Streptophyta; Magnoliopsida; Poales; Poaceae. The transcript has 5 exons.